CCGCAUAUUUUCUACUUUACCUUUCCUUUUUGUUUUUCACCUUCCUUGCUGUGCGAUUUUCUCCCUCUUCAUCGUUCCCUCUUUUGCUGCCAAAUCUUUGCUCUUUCUUCGCAGAAUAGUCUUUAGAAGAGAUCCUGACUUUAAUUUUAUUUUGGAUUUGGUUUCGGGUCUUCUCCGGUGUGCAACCCUUUGUUUGAUUUUAUUGGGUGUUUUGUUUCCGGUCUUCUCCGGUGACGAACCCUUUGUUGGUCAGCGUUUUGUUCUCAUCUUGCCAUCGUCGGGAUCAAAAUUUUAAGGUAGUCAAGGUUUUGUCGAAGCUUAUAAAAUUGGUUUCGAGCGUUCGCGACCGUUGGUGCCAGAAUUUCAGAGUGUUGGUCUCUGUUUUCGUCGGCGAUCCCGGAGUUGGGACUGAGCACGGCGUGCCUUUAAAUUAUCGUCGGGCAAAUUGUAUUGAACUCUGUGAGUUGUAGCGGUUUGUUGAGAAUUUGUCGGCUAAGGCAUAUUUUGUGUUUGGCUUCCUCUACUGACAAGUCUGAGAAUUCGCAUUAGCUGGAACGCUACUGUUGGUUUGGCAUAACCAGCUUUUCUGUAUAGCAUGGCCUCCAAUCAUCAUUCAUUUGAAGAUUUUACAACAGCAAUUGCAUGGGACGCAGGGAAGCUGUUGGUGAUGGAGCAGGUGAAGGUUGCUCCACCUAAGGCUAGG
This is a non-coding RNA of Malus domestica (apple), 703 nucleotides long. Lineage: Eukaryota; Viridiplantae; Streptophyta; Magnoliopsida; Rosales; Rosaceae. The record is from RefSeq and is a predicted model, not a curated record.